CCAUGUUGACGGCCGAGACCGGAAGUCGAAGGGCGGGGCGGAAGGGCAACCCGCAGGAAGCCUGCCGAGAGCAACCUGAGCCGGUUCUCCCGGCAGUCUCGCGCCGUAGCGUGUGCGGGACCCGGCGGGAGCCGGUGAGGCGCGUGGGAGUGGGGCGGAGCCGGUGCGUGGGUGAAAAGGCGGAAGAGAGCUUCGCGCGCUGCCGGAAGCGGGAUGAGGACUCAGCCGGUCUCGUCACCGUAAACGUCACUCGUGGCCCCGCCCGGGCUGUCGCCGCCGCAGCAGCCCCAGGCGUUGUAAAGGUCACAAGUUGCCUUAAGGAAUGGAUCAGCGCUCUCUAAGUGGGGCACUUUACCCCCAUGGAGGGGGCCUUGCCUGGGUGUUCGUGAGUUACGCUUCUGGAAUCGUGGAGAAAUCGUCGGGACCGGGCGCUUGGGAUUUCUCAAGACUUUGCUCCUCCCAUAGACGGCCUAGGCGUUUUGCGUGGGAGGACGUUCCCGUCCCUUUUUUAUUUUUUUUUUUUAAGCUGUGGGAAAAUGGGAGAGAAAAUAUGAUUGGGCGUAGGGACUGAGCUGCCGGCAGAAUAACUGAACUUUCGAUUGAGCUGGGUGUUUGCUGAGUCCGUUACCAUCCCCCAAAUCCGCACAGCCUCUGAAAUCAGACUGUUUAGAUUGAAAUUCUAGCUCUACUGGGCGCUAUCAACUCUCUUCAGGCUCUGGAAUCUAGGCAACCACAGCAAUCAGGGGAAGGCCUAGUGAGGACAAGCUGCUGCUCUAAGACUGGACUCUAAUUGAUACACCUGGCAAAAGGAAAUGCAAAAAGCCCCAGUUGCAUUGACUUCACAUAGAACAAUCAACACCCUGCCACUGUUCAACUUAACAAUGAAACGUUUCAAAACCUCACUAAGAAACAACCCACCACAAGCAGAAAUCAGCAGACAUAGUGGAAGGUUUGGAGGCCCCCAAACUGUUACAGACCUAGGUAUCAUAAUCUUUAUUCCAGGUUCUUACUCCCAGAGAUAAGAAUUCAAAGCAGAGGCAUGAUACAGUGCAUGAGUGAGAGCAGGAUUUAAAAUGGGGAGAGACAACGAACAUGAGUGUGGGCCACCCCACCCACUGAGACGCCUGUUAUGAAUAGGCUUGUGAGGAGAGAGAAGGAAAGAAGGCCCAAGAAGAUUCCCCAAGCAUGCUCAAGAGAAAAGGAGGGUGCGUCCCAUGUUAUCAGUGUCUUUUUAUGAUGUGGGGGCUGAAGGGUUAGCAUGCAUAAGGCCCUUUGGGAUUUUCAUGGCGCCUCGCUGUGGAAUUUAACUUUUAUGUGGCCAUCAUGGCAUCUCCUCCUUCCUGGUCCCGGGUGAGAUACAGGCACAUCAUGGGAAGGUGGGCAGAUCAAACUGACAGGUGAGAGGGUAAAGUUACAAUGCACAGCUGGCAGAAAUUCCAGCUCGUAAGUAACGCUCAGUGACCUCAGAGUCACCCCUAAAGGCGUUCUGGGCUGGCUGAAAAGCCCACGGGAGCAUUUCAGGCAUGGAAAGCCAGGACACUCCUACAUGGAGGACCUCCCUGGGUGAGACUCCAGUGGAAAGAAGUGGUCAUCAUCUUAGCUAUAUAAUAUGUACUUUGAGUGUGUAACAUCAAGUUUUAACAAAUAUUUAAAGACAAAGUCACAUCAAGCAGAUACUAAAAGGUUCAUUUUUAUAUUUGUUUUCGAUGUUUUAAAUAGUUGCAAUGGCUUCAAAAUGACGAUUUACAAUGUUGCUUAUAAUGCCUGCUGAGUUCUCCACAUUUUGUAACCUGUUUUAUUUCUUUGGGUGAAAAGCGUUUUUUGCUUAGUAUUGUGAUAUUGCAUAUGUUUUGUCCCAGUUGUAUAGUAAUGUUACAGUGUAUAUCCAGCUUUGGCUGCUGAAAGCAUACAGCUGUGAAGACCUUGCCUUUUUUUCUGUUAGACUGCUUUUCAGUUCUGUAUUGAGUAUCUUAAGUACUGGAGAAAAGAUGUCACUUCUUCCUUUAAGGCUGUUUGGUAAUCUAUAUAAGCACUGGAAUUGUGUUUUUAAAGAAAAGCAUUCAAGUAUGACAAUAUAGUAUCUGUGUUUUCAUCACUCAAAAUGCUGUUUAGUAGUUGAAACUUAAAACUAUUUAAUGUCAUUUAAUCAAGUGACCAAAAUGUGUUGUGCUCUUUAUUGCAUUUUCACAGCUUUGAAAAUCUGUGCCCAUGUUGUUUCAUAGACAGUGUACCGCUUUUAAUGUCCUAUUUAAUGGUGAUUCUUUUGCACAUUUAGUUGUUUAAUACUGGAAAGUCAAGAACUUUGAUUUUUUGUAAUGUGUUAUAUAAAUUCUGUAAAAGGAGAUCUCUAACCUCAAAAAGAAUUUAUAUUCCAGGAAGCCUGUGUGUGUUUGUAUUAGUUUUGGUUGUCUGUGUAAUCCAGCACGAUUUUCUUGCUUCCCAACAGCUGGAUCCUUUGUUUGAAGUCAGGCAAGGCUACCAACCCACACAUGAUACACGAGCUGCUUGCCAUUCAGAAAUCAUAGCAGGUAGAGGGAAACCUUAUUUACCUAGCCUCGAAAGAAGCUGAGUAUUCUGGAGUCUUCCCCUAGCUAUACCCAUUUUCCCUCUGUUGUCAUAGAAUCAUAUUCUUAUUUUUGUGCUCCAGACAAAGCCAGUAACCAUAUAACGUGUUGUGAGGCUAUCCAUACUUAUUCUAACAGUAAAAUAGGCCAAUCCUUUUAUAUGUUUAUUUCAGUAAAAAUUAUGUUCAAGAUAUUAUGUACCUUAUUUCACCAGACUCAAUGUGGCUUUUGGCUGUCUCCAGAUCAAGUCUAACCUUAGAGAAUUAAAAUUGUUCCACUAUUUUUUCCUCCAAAAACCUAUAAUCUGAGCCAGGCUCAAAGGAGUGACCAAGUUUCAGAAAUGGUUUCAUCUGUGCAACACUUUAUAUGUGCAACCGUAUGAGGGUGAAUAAAAAUUUAAAAUACAAAAAAAGGUAGUCCUCAAAGAAGGAUGUACCUUUCUCCGAGGGGAGGAGAGAACUUCCACUUUGCCUAUGGCCUUGUCCAAAUACUGACAAGUUUGUGGAUUCAAAAGGCUUCCAUAGCCUAGGCAGCUCAUGUCAAGAGCCUCGGGUGAUCACUGAUGUCAUACAUAAAAGAGUGUUAGUUGUUAAAUUAACAACAGGAGUCACUGUGUAGUAACUUCCCAUGCAAGACCUCUGUCCUCAAAGAAUUGCAGUAUAAGAAUUAAUGGUAAAACUUGUUCUCAAAGAUUUACUUUCUUCUAGUGUGUUAUAUUAUUAUGUAUCAUAAGUUCUAGUAAUGUCUAAGUGUCAAACUCCAUUGCCUGUAUUCUUAGGUGCUUCUUUAAAGUUAACUAAGUGUCUCAAACCUGGACUCUUGGAUGCAUGUCUCCCUGUGAUAUAUUCCUGUCUCGUAUGUUUUAACACAAGGUCAAAUGGAGAGUACAGAAUGGUUCAAGGCCUCAGGACUAUAGUGAGACAGUUGUUUAAAUGCAUGUUUUUGUGUGCUAACCCUUUGCCUAAGGGAGAAUUUCUUCUGCAUCCCACUAAACCCAGAAUCUGGAAAGUAAGGGUACAGAAUUUCCCAAACAGAAGCUCAGGUUUCCAAACAAGAGGUAGAUUACCUGAGAUAUGUUCUAACCCCAGGAAAGUGUGCUCUUUCAGUCAACAGAAAGGAAGCUAUUCUGUGUGUAUAUAUAUAGUCACCACAGACUAAAAAGCAGCUAAGGAUGUUUGUGGGAAUGACAGGAUUCUGCAGAAUAUGGAUUCCAGGAUUUGAAUUCCAAGCUUUUGUAUGAGCUUUAAAAGGCCCUGACAACAGACACACUGUGCUGGACAGGACAACUACAAAAGGUGUUCCAAAGAAUGAAAGAGCUUUUAACAAAAGUUCCAAUGUUAGGAAUUCCUGAACAGGCUAUUCAUAGGAUCCUCUUCAGAUUAGUUGCAGCUUAAAUGGAAGGGACCUUAGCAGGUACUACUGAGCAUGACUACCUCAGUAAAAUUAGAAUUUAACUUCUACCCCCUGAGUCUCCACAGGUGAACUCAAAAGACAUACCUGAUUAUUCCUGUAAGCCAAUCGAGACCUUAAGCACCUCUUCAAAGGCAAAAAAAAGAUAAUUAAGCUUUUGCUUUCAUCACAUCAAGACUGCUGCACCUCAAGGCAGACAUGCUGUACCUGCCUCUUUUGAUUCUCUCUGGGAACUGUUAUUGACAAAAAACUUAACAGGUUCUUCUAGAAUCAUUCUCUACACUCAAGCUAAACAAUUUUAUAAUCUACAUAAGAGUUGCUUAUCGCUAUCCACUAUCUGGGAGAUGGUGAGAUACGUUCUUUUCAUCUGAAGAGCACCCCAUUCGCAGUUGGCUUUGUUCCAGUUUUGCUUAUGCUGAUUGACAAACUUAUAUGUUUCAGAGCUCAGCAAAUUCUGAGAAUAACUGACUGUGCAGGGGACACAGCCCCUGGUGGUGACUGAGACUACUCCAGCUCAUAAAGUGAAUUUGUUAGAUGACAUAGGUAGAGACUUCCAGACCCAGGACUGUGCUAUGCCCCUCAUAAACAGGAAGCAGCUGUAGAAUAUAUGAUAAUUCUACAUCCUUCAUCAUCCCUUAAGAAUAAGGUCUGGAGUCUCUGAGAGGGCAAUAACAUGGGCAGGCAGAUAGGAUAAACUUGAUUAGGUUUGUGAGCUGGAAGACCAUGCCCCCUGUGUGAUCUCAUGCCCCUACCUGACCCCACCUGUACACCCACCUGCCUAUCAGACUAUGUAACCCCUCCCUCUUGGGCAGUAAAUAAAAGGCCUGGAACAUGGUGGGCCCUUCCCUUGUUGCCCUUGUUGCCCCCACAGGCACAUGGUGGCUCUCUGCUCUCCUGCCUGCAUGCUUGUUCCACGUGGCUCCUGGCCUGUUCUCUGCUUGGCAUGGAUCCAACUUAGCUUCUAGACCUCUCUUUCUCCCCUAAAUAAAGCCCUCACUCUCCUGUGUAUUCCUCUCACUGAAUAAAAAGCUUAAAACUUAAAAAAAAAAAAUUUGAGCUCACAGACCCCUAACUCCCUGCCUCGUUUCGCUGUAUCAAAACCAAAAAUAAUUGGACAAAAUUUGAAAGAGAAUAUAAAACCAGUAUAUUUUAGACAAUUAGCCAUCUGAAAGACGGAUUGAAAUGCUAACAAAAGGACACAAUUUGGAAAAAUCAUAAAUUAUGAAAAAGUAACCAUAGUUUUAAAAAAGCACAGGCCUGGGAGUGCAAGCCUCUCCUUGACAUAGUGAUUUCAUUUCCUUUGGGUACACAGGAGGUCGUCAAAAAGUUCAUGGAAAAUGCAAAUAAAAAAAUAUGGAUUUCAAGUUUUCUUGCACCCAGAUGAACAUCUUUUAAUUCCACUUUCCUACAAACUCCUUAAAGUACCCUCAUAGUGCGAUUGCUGGAUUGUACAGUAGUUCUGUUUUCAACUUUUGAGGGCUUGCCAUACUCUUCCAUAAUGGCUAUAUUAAUUUAUAUUCUGACAAACAAUGUAUGACAGGUUCCCCUUUCUCCACAUCUUUGCCAGGUUUUCUCUUUGUCUUUUUGGCAAUAGCCUUUAAGAAAUUAUUUUAUUUAUUUGAAUGAGUUACAGAGAGAGGUCUUCCAUCCGCUGGUUUACUCUCCAAAUGGCCACUAUGGCCAGAGCUGAGCUGAUCUGAAGCCAGGAGUUUCUUCUGGGUCUCCCACAUGGGUACAAGGGUCCAAGGAUUUGAGCCAUCCUCUGCUGCUUUCCCAGGCACAUGAUCAGGGAGCUGGAUCAGAAGUGGAGCAACUGGGACUCAAACUGGAGCCCUUAUGGGAUGCUGGUGCUGCAGGUUGGGGCUUUAACCAGUUCCACCACAGCACUGGCCCUGGUAAUAGCCCUUCUAACCUGGGAAGAGGUGAUAGUAUAGCUGGAAGAGUGGAUUUUCAGUGUGCUCACCAUAAAGAAAUUAUAACAUUUUUAAAGUUACACAUAUGCUAAUUACCCAGUUUGAUCAUUUAAUAUAUGCAUGAACCAAACCAUCACAUUGUAUUCCAUAAAUAUGUACAGUUAUGACAAUCAAAAAAUAUAAAAGUAAUAAAAAUAUAAUCACUAAAAAGCAGUUCAGUGGAUGCAUUAAAAAGCACAUUAGAAACAGCUACAAAGAGAAGAAAUAUACUGUAAAAUAGAGUUCAGGGAAAUUUUCCAGGAUGCUGUGACAUACAGUGACAUAUGAACAAUAUUUCAACAAGUUUAACAGACCUGGAAGCUAAAAUACACAAGUCACAGAGUGAUGUUUAUAGUUCACUGAUUUUUGUAUAAGAAAGAGGAAAAUGAGAUGAUGCAUUCAUAUUAUAUCUCCAUAACAAACUCAAAGGGUACACAAAAAAUGAAUCUAUAAAAAAUAGUGCACCUAUCUGGAUAUGGUGGAGGUGGAAUCAAUAGGUGUGGACAAAAGUGGGAUUGCGACUUCUAUUACUGUAUACACUUUAUAUGUAUGGAAUUUACGAACCAUGUGUGUUAGUCCAGGUUCUCUGAGAAGCAGAAACCAAGAUGGAAUUGGUUGUGCAAGGGCUGAUGGGGCAAAUGAUUAGGAGGGAAAAGGGAAGGGAGCCCCAGGAGAUGGAAGAGCCUUCCGAACACACUGCAGGUCUCACACCUGGGAAAGGAGGGUUGCAUAGGCAGAUGCUAAGACUGCAGUGUGGGUCUAAGAUUCAGCCAGGCCGAUGGGCUGUCCUCAAGUCGAAGCAGCCUGUUGAAGGGGCCAAAUGCCUUGCAGGAAUGGGCCCCGCCUUAUUAUCUCUGCCAGGUGUAGUCACUGCCUGAGAGCAGCCUGCGUGAAGUGUGGUCUCCAUGCUAACGCGGUGGGAGAUUCAGAGAGCAGCAGCUGAGGCCAUCUGUCAAUUGUGCUUCCUGUAGCAAGAGAUCUGAGUGGCAUAUUUUCAUAGCUGCCACACCAGGGGACUAAAUUUUGUAUUCAAAAAAGGGCCAAAUAAAGACAUUUUCAGACACUGACUGAAGCAGCUUAUCACUCCCAGACUGUCACCCCGAGGACCUCUGGAGGCUUCACUUUAAAAGGAAAUAUUUGGAAUCCUGAAGGACUGUGGAGGAUGCAAGAAGCAAUGUUGAGCAAAUAAACUGGUAAACAAGUGGGAAAGAAGUUGGCCAACACGCAGAUAAAUCCAAAAAGGCAUUAACCAUGAAAACAACAACAGUAAUGAUUCAUUUGGGUGUAUUAAAAACAAGGCAGAGUUAAAAUACUCGCAAUAACAUGUAAGAUUAGAAGGAGAGGAUUUUAAGGCCCAUGCAUUCGUCAGAAGGACAGUAAAGCUAUAGAUUUACUUCAGACUUCAAACCAAGUAUUUUAAAAAUGUAGAAGAAACAAUGAUAAGCGUGCACAUGGAUUAUCUGACUUGCAAGCUGAGGACAGGGAUAAAAUGCAGUCAGUCCAUAAGCAUGAAAUUGGGAGGGAGGGAAGAAUGGGAAACAGAAGGCAUAAAUUAAGGUA
Non-coding RNA from Oryctolagus cuniculus (rabbit), 7486 nucleotides. NCBI's taxonomy places the organism in Eukaryota, Metazoa, Chordata, Mammalia, Lagomorpha, Leporidae. The record is from RefSeq and is a predicted model, not a curated record.